Molecule: long non-coding RNA, 543 nt
Filed under: Nicotiana tabacum (common tobacco)
Lineage: Eukaryota; Viridiplantae; Streptophyta; Magnoliopsida; Solanales; Solanaceae
Description: long non-coding RNA (NTAB_LNC013598)
Source: RNAcentral
ACCAAGAAUCAGCCCAUCGAUGCAUUUGGUGUUGAGGCUGCUAUAUCUUUGAUCAAAAUGUUUCAAUAGGUACUGCUGUACAAUAUUUGGCCUCAUGUGCAACAGUAAGUGUUAUUAAAAAUCCUCCAGUGCCUAUUAAUACAUCAAUGCAGGAUAUCCCAUCCCAAACUUCAGACAAAUUGGUGCAACAAAAAUGUACUAAUCCUAAUGUGAGUGGGAAAGAUGCAGUAUUUCAGUCAAAUUUGAGUAGUACCGCUACUGGUAGUUGUGAUAAUAUAAGGGAAGCUGAAAUAUUUAGUCCAAAUGUGCAAGAGCCACUAAGCUAUCACCUCCUUCACUGAUACAUUGUGCUUUGAAUACCUUGUGCAGACUGAACAUGGCUAUCACUGAUGAGCACGCUGCUUCUGUUCCUCUGUCAAGAAUUUCCAAGGCCUCCAUUGUUGAUUUUGAUGCCAAAGUUGACGACACUAGCUAUUGAAAAUAAUUACAAGGGCAUGAGAAUAAUGCUUUAGGAAGUGGCAUUAUAAUAUCAACUUUCCUAAA